CGCAUGUCCUUGCCCCCAGCAAUGGACACAGGGAGCCAACAAAGGCAACUGAACACAUCACACUCUUGUGGAUGGAACCUGAGAGGGAAAGGCAAUGUAGGCCCCCAGUGUGCUCAGGCCAUCCUGCCUGGGGUACAGCUUCUGAAGCUACCUGCAUGGAAGAGGACAGGCAGGGACUGUGACUCAGAGGCAGAGCAUUUUGUGGGAGUGGUGCUGGGGGACACAGUGCGAUCCAGGGCUGCCACAGACACAGUGCAGCAGGCAGGAAGCUAACGUUCUGGAUGGCUGCACAAGAAAUGCAGAGGCUGCUCAGGGAUUCAAACUUCAGCCUUGAGUCCACCUGCCUUGGUCAGACUUCUUGAAGAUAAAUCAAGCAGUUUUCUGGAAAGGAGCAAACAGUGAGUUGGGCCCUGCAGAGCAUCUGGGACCAAGGACUGUAAUACUCACCAUACUCUCUUGCCUUUGCAGUCACCUGUUUUUUGGCUGUUUCUUACCUGCCUGUCCCACUACACUUUUGCUGGGAAAUGGCCCCAAUAAGCAUUCUGUUGUGGAUCUCCUGAUCCUAAUGGGAUCAAGGCUUCUCACAGGAAGGGUUUGCUGUGAGAGCCAUUGCGGGUGCAGCAGGGCUAACCCUGGCAUCAGGUGCAGAUGUGGGCGUGCAUGUAGCCUGGUGACAAGUGACAUACAUUCUCACCAGGGCACCUCACCCACCUGCCACCCUGCCAGCACAGCAUCAGAUAAAAAAUUAAAAAUGUUUGUUCAGAGAUCUGAAAAGUGAGAGUGGAAAUUUUGAGAGAAGAGGCAUUCAUGUGGGAUCCUGCACCUCCACCUUCUAGUCAGACCCCAGAGAGUAAAGAAUGACUCAAAGCUGUCUGUUUCAUGGGGGGUGUCUUACCUAACUGAGUACAUAAAGUGUAGAUAAGUCUAAACAUAGCUGGCAAAUGAAAAUACUAGAAGGCCAAGAACUCCCCCUUACUCUCUUUCCUGGUUCAAGUGGAUUUAAGUUAAUAAGUCAAAAUUUAUCAUACAGGAAUUAAUGCAUUCAUCUGAGUUUCUCAGUCACCCAGGAAUUUAAUUAGUUAUCUUCCAAAAUGGAUGAAACUACUAGAAAAUUCUCAGGUCUUGUAACCAUUUACAAGAAAACAAACAUUUGAAACAAAAAUAUUGGAUAAUCUAAAUUAUUAUUUGUUUUAUCCCAAGGAAAUGAAUCCUAUUUAGAUCACAAAUAAUAAACUAGUGCAAUAUGAUUACAUAUAUUUGUAAGACAACUGUGCAUUUGGAAAAAAAUGUUUUGAGACCUUUGGAUGUAAGUCAUUAUGCAACAAGUUUAUUAAAGCUGGGAUGCAUGUUUAUGACUCUUCUGGGAUCUUCAGGUUGCAGGAUUGGGGGAUGAAAACAAAAAACAGUCACCCUUUGCUCUGAGCAAAUGUCACUCUGAAAGCAGGGCUAUAUAGAAACACCUGCAACCCAAGUCCCUGGCAACUGGCACAGCAGGGAAGAUUGUCCUGUGGGCAGAGAAGAGCGCAAGAGGCAUGACCCUGUGUGGAUGAGAAGAGGACAGAAUGUCUUUCUGUGUGACAUUUAGUGUACCAUUUAACUGGCUGCACACACUCCUCCAUCAUUCAGUCCCCUCUUCAGCUACAACAGGGGCAGUAUGACACCGGAGGGCAGUGGUCUGGAGGCUGUUCCCAAUUGUGCAGGGCUUCCUGGAGACCCUUAUCCCCACUCAUAUCACCCAGUGUGGAACGGACACCUGACCUCUUGUGAUCAAGCACAAAGAAAAUGGGCUGGACCCCAGGAACUGGGCGUUGGGCCUGGUUCUGUGGCCAAUGACUUCUAGGCAGCUGUCAAGAUAUCCCCCCAGCCUCAAUCCUCCUGCAAAGAAAAUGUGGGGCUGGAAUGCAUAGGACCUAUCUUCAGGCCAAGCAGUGGCUCACGUCUGUAAUCCCAGCACUUUGGGAGGCCGAGGUGGGUGAAUCACCUGAGGUCAGGAGUUCGAGAUCAGCCUGGCCAACGUGGCGAAACGCCGUCUGUACUAAAAAUACAAAAAUUAGCUGGGCGUGGUGGCAUGCGCCUGUAAUCCCAGCUACUCGGGAGGCUGAAGCAGGAGAAUCACUUGAACCUGACAGGCAGAGGUUGCAGUGAGCGGAGAUUGGGCCACUGCACUCCAGCCUGGGUGUGACAGAGUGAGACCCUGUCUCAAAACAAACGAACAAGCAAAGACCUAUGUUCACUUCUGAGGAGAGAAGCCCGCUGUCAUUCUGAUCUUUGUUUCUCUGUAUCUAACACUGUAUCCCUCACUCUGUGCCAGCCCAGAUGAUUUUGUAAUUUUCCGUUUAUCACUGGUUUUAAGCAAUUGCUCUAUGAGGUUUCAGGGGUUUUGUACAUGGAGUUUGUUGAGCUACUUACUUCUGUGGUUUGCAGAUGUCAUCGAAUUUGGAAAAUGUUAGUCAUUAUUCUUUCAAAUUUUUUUUGCUCCCUCCUCUUCUUUGAGGACUCCAAUUAUACUAUUAUUUAACCAUCUGAUGUUGUCCCACAGCUCAAUUAACCACAAUUGCUUUUCUUCCCUGUCUUCCUUCUCUCUACGUUGGAUUAUUUCUAUGGCUAUGUUUUCAUAUUAACCAAGGCAGUAUUUAGUCUCUUACGUCUGUGUGGUAUAUCUUUCAUCUUGAAUAUUAUCCUUUUUAUCUCAAGAAGUUCGAUUGGAAUCUUUUUAUAUAGUUGUGUCUCUUCUUAACGUGUUCAAUUUUUUGCUUCUUGAAAAUGUGAAACCCAGUCAUAGUAAUUGUGUUCCCAUCCUUUCCUGAGAAUUCUAACAUCUGUGUCACACCUGGGUUGGUUUUGAUGAUUUUUUUUCCUCUAUCUUAGUAUUUCUCUCAUCAUUGACUGGAUGCCACACAAGAAUUUUACCUUAUUAUGUGCUGGAUAUUUUUGUAUUUCUACAGAUAUUCUUGCAUUUAUCUCUGGCACACAGCUAAAUUGCUUGGAAACAGUUUGCUUUUUUUUCAGGUCUUGCUGUGUUAGGGGAGACCACAGCAUUAGCAACAAAAAUAUGUUUUCCCUGUUCUGAAGCAGAAUGUUUCUGAGCGCUGUGCUUGAUACCCUGUGAAUUAUGGUGCUUUCCACACUGGCUGGUAGAAAUUGGAAUAUUUUCUUCUCUGUGUGAGUCCCAAGGAUGUUUUCCUCUAAUGCUUUCACAUAGUUCUUUCUCCAGCUUUGUGCGGUUUCCUCACAUGCAUGGAUAGGCUGGUCUGUAAUUAGCUGAAGGCUUAAGAGAAGCCUAUGCUGAUCUUGGAAUUAUUUCUCUCAGUGCCUCUCUCUUUUCUCUGUGUUCUGCUUUGCAAACCCUAGCUCUCUGAUCCCCUGGACUUCCAGUUCUGUCUUCCAUUCAGAGAGACUCUGAGUUCUACCUGGGCUUGUCCUUAUGCCCCAUGGCCUGAAAAUUGUCUGGGGCAAGUGCAGGCAUCACCUCCUGUGUUCCCUUCUCCCAGGAGUCAAUGUCUUGUGUUGCCUGAUGUGCAAAGUCUUAAAUAUCACUGUUGCAUACAUUUGUGUGUGUGUGUGUGUGUGUGUGUGUGUGUGUGCGUGCGCGUGCAUUUGUGUGUGUGAGAGAGAGAAAGAGAGAGGGAGAGUUGUUUCAGGUGGGAGUAUAAAUAUGCUUCUUGUUAAUUCAUCUUGGUCAGGAGCAGAAAUGCUCACCUUAAGGAUCUUAAGUCCCAUUUCCCGAUGAGUGCUUAAAUAUUUUCACUACACUCUCUUCUAACUCUGAAAUUCUGUGUCAAUAUCAGAAUAUUUGUGUGUUUUUGGAUUUUUCUGGUACUCUGUAGUUUCAAUUAGAGCAGAUUACAGAAUUAAU
This 3856-nucleotide long non-coding RNA is filed under the name Homo sapiens (human). Its description in RNAcentral is "HSALNT0122342". The record is from RNAcentral. Lineage: Eukaryota; Metazoa; Chordata; Mammalia; Primates; Hominidae.